UUCAGAAGAUGUGGUUCGCGGCCAAUCAGCUUGUUGGGGGGGUGAUGGCCUACCAAGGCCACCACGGGUAGCCGGCCUGAGAGGGCGACCGGCCACACUGGGAUUGAGACACGGCCCAGAACUCCUACGGGAGGCAGCAGUGGGGAAUAUUGCACAAUGGGCGAAAGCCUGAUGCAGCGACGCCGCGUGAGGGAUGAAGGCCUUCGGGUUGUAAACCUCUUUCAGCAGGGAAGAAGCGCAAAUGAAAGUACCUGCAGAAGAAGCGCCGGCUAACUACGUGCCAGCAGCCGCGGUAAUACGUAGGGCGCAAGCGUUGUCCGGAAUUAUUGGGCGUAAAGAGCUCGUAGGCGGUUUGUCGCGUCUGGUGUGAAAACUCGAGGCUCAACCUCGAGCUUGCAUCGGGUACGGGCAGACUAGAGUNCGGUAGGGGAGGCUGGAAUUCCUGGUGUAGCUGUGGAAUGCGCAGAUAUCU
RNAcentral lists this ribosomal RNA (472 nucleotides) under Cellulosimicrobium sp. aegyptiaca. RNAcentral's name for it is "bacterial SSU rRNA". It matches the Rfam family "Bacterial small subunit ribosomal RNA", at positions 216 to 699 of the family's 1533-position model. Lineage: Bacteria; Bacillati; Actinomycetota; Actinomycetes; Micrococcales; Promicromonosporaceae. The record is from RNAcentral.